CCUACGGGUGGCAGCAGUGGGGAAUAUUGCACAAUGGGGGAAACCCUGAUGCAGCGACGCCGCGUGAGUGAAGAAGUAAUUCGUUAUGUAAAGCUCUAUCAGCAGGGAAGAAAAUGACGGUACCUGAGUAAGAAGCCCCGGCUAACUACGUGCCAGCAGCCGCGGUAAUACGUAGGGGGCAAGCGUUAUCCGGAUUUACUGGGUGUAAAGGGAGCGUAGACGGGAUUGCAAGUCAGUUGUGAAAGUGUGUGGCUCAACCGUAGAAUUGCAAUGGAUACUGUCAGUCUGGAGUACAGGUGAGGUAGGUGGAAUUCGUGGUGUAGCGGUGAAAUGCGUAGAUAUCAGGAGGAACACCGGUGGCGAAGGCGGCUUACUAGACUGUAACUGACGUUGAUGCUCGAAAGCGUGGGGAGCAAACAGGAUUAGAUACCCGAGUAGUC
This 440-nucleotide ribosomal RNA is filed under the name uncultured bacterium. RNAcentral's name for it is "partial 16S ribosomal RNA". It matches the Rfam family "Bacterial small subunit ribosomal RNA", at positions 338 to 795 of the family's 1533-position model. The record is from RNAcentral.